ACAAAGUAAUUUCUUUAUACGACUUUGGAACAAAGUAUUCAAAGAUAUCCAUGAAAGACUUAGCGCAAUUCAAACACGGAAGCACCAAUAUGCCUGUUGACCUGACAUCCAUUUUCCAACCAGUCCCACGCUUAUCAGAAAUUUAUACACCCUCUGAGAAACAAGCAAAAACCAGUACUAACUUCAACAAAGAGAAUACCGGACUCUGCUAUCAAUCACUCUCGUUGCUUUCGGAAGCUUCUCUUCAGCGCACUCAAGACACAAUUCAACUCCAUCAAACAAAACAGGUAUAUAAUAUAGACGAAUAAUUGUUAGAAGCACUACAAAACUCUGCUUUAGUCAUACUCAUAAUACAUCACACGUUCCACUUGCUCGUAUUACCAACACCUGUGUUGCUGCUUGCGUGUGACGCACGUAAUUGAUAAGCUACGUGUAACCUUCUCUUCUCAGAGCACACAUCUCUAUAAUUCCAGCAUUAUGUCAUUUCUUGUUUCUGCGCGGUGCACUUAUGCAUGAAAUAACCUUGCUAUUAUCUCUAUAGAUAUAUCGAUAUAUAUAUAUAUGUGUGUGUGUGUGCGCU
This 580-nucleotide long non-coding RNA is filed under the name Coffea arabica (coffee). Its description in RNAcentral is "long non-coding RNA (CARA_LNC002780)". The record is from RNAcentral. Lineage: Eukaryota; Viridiplantae; Streptophyta; Magnoliopsida; Gentianales; Rubiaceae.